GGGUGAGGGGAGCUACCAUGCAAGUCGAGCGGUAGCACAGAGAAGCUUGCUUCUUGGGUGACGAGCGGCGGACGGGUGAGUAAUGCAUAGGAAUCUGCCCGAUAGUGGGGGAUAACCUGGGGAAACCCAGGCUAAUACCGCAUACGUCCUACGGGAGAAAGGGGGCUCCGGCUCCCGCUAUGGGAUGAGCCUAUGUCGGAUUAGCUAGUUGGUGAGGUAACGGCUCACCAAGGCAACGAUCCGUAGCUGGUCUGAGAGGAUGAUCAGCCACAUCGGGACUGAGACACGGCCCGAACUCCUACGGGAGGCAGCAGUGGGGAAUAUUGGACAAUGGGCGCAAGCCUGAUCCAGCCAUGCCGCGUGUGUGAAGAAGGCCCUCGGGUUGUAAAGCACUUUCAGCGAGGAAGAACGCCUAGCGGUUAAUACCCGCUAGGAAAGACAUCACUCGCAGAAGAAGCACCGGCUAACUCCGUGCCAGCAGCCGCGGUAAUACGGAGGGUGCAAGCGUUAAUCGGAAUUACUGGGCGUAAAGCGCGCGUAGGUGGCUUGAUAAGCCGGUUGUGAAAGCCCCGGGCUCAACCUGGGAACGGCAUCCGGAACUGUCAAGCUAGAGUGCAGGAGAGGAAGGUAGAAUUCCCGGUGUAGCGGUGAAAUGCGUAGAGAUCGGGAGGAAUACCAGUGGCGAAGGCGGCCUUCUGGACUGACACUGACACUGAGGUGCGAAAGCGUGGGUAGCAAACAGGAUUAGAUACCCUGGUAGUCCACGCCGUAAACGAUGUCGACCAGCCGUUGGGUGCCUAGCGCACUUUGUGGCGAAGUUAACGCGAUAAGUCGACCGCCUGGGGAGUACGGCCGCAAGGUUAAAACUCAAAUGAAUUGACGGGGGCCCGCACAAGCGGUGGAGCAUGUGGUUUAAUUCGAUGCAACGCGAAGAACCUUACCUACUCUUGACAUCCUGCGAAUUCGGUAGAGAUACCUUAGUGCCUUCGGGAACGCAGAGACAGGUGCUGCAUGGCUGUCGUCAGCUCGUGUUGUGAAAUGUUGGGUAAGUCCCGUACGAGCGCACCCUGUCUUAUUUGCAGCACGUAAUGGUGACUCUAGAGACUGCGUGACACCGGAGGAGGUGGGGACGACGUCAGUCAUCAUGUCCUACGAGUAGCUACCACGUGCUACAUUGUCAUACAAGGGUGCAACCUCGCG
This 1200-nucleotide ribosomal RNA is filed under the name Vreelandella lionensis. RNAcentral's name for it is "bacterial SSU rRNA". It matches the Rfam family "Bacterial small subunit ribosomal RNA", at positions 37 to 1259 of the family's 1533-position model. Lineage: Bacteria; Pseudomonadati; Pseudomonadota; Gammaproteobacteria; Oceanospirillales; Halomonadaceae. The record is from RNAcentral.